This is a long non-coding RNA of Nematostella vectensis (starlet sea anemone), 1483 nucleotides long. RefSeq lists it as uncharacterized. The transcript has 2 exons. NCBI's taxonomy places the organism in Eukaryota, Metazoa, Cnidaria, Anthozoa, Actiniaria, Edwardsiidae. The record is from RefSeq and is a predicted model, not a curated record.
GUUUUUUUGCAAAUAAACCACUGUAUUAAACAAUAACAAAGGAGUGGUUGAUCGAUAUUAUUUAAAAGCGUUGUUUAGACUUAGGAAACGAUAGUACCCUAAGAUUCAAUCCCCGUUUUGUGCGGCCAAGAAAAUGACCAUCAAUUUUCAAAGUUCUGUAGGAAACUUAAAUCUCAACCAAAUUCAAUUUCCUUUUCAUAAUUUGAAAGCUUAUCAAUGUUUCUUUCUGCUAGUGAAAGGUGGUUAUACGGACUUUAAUUUAAAGUUUCGGAAACACCCUGUCACUAUUAGGCUGUAAAAACAUUGAUCCUCGAUUUCUACGUUUUAUAUUUUUUCAUAAUUUCUGAGAUACCUCUUUAUUAUAUAAUCUGAAGAUUAGUUGACAGGUCUUUCAAAUUUUCGUUAAAGUAAAUAAGUAUUAAUAAAAGAAUCGAUAAAUACAUCAUUGAGAUACAGAAGGAAUAACGCACGCUCAUUCGACGGGACUCCUGUGGUAUAUAUCAUUUGUAGUGUUACCUUGGCAACAGUUUAUCUGAAGACAGUUUGAGUUGGAGAUCUGUUUUCGAGACGAGCCGUGGUUGCACGAUCCUUCAUCAUCGAAAAUCAUCCACCAUCCGAAGUUAAACAUCCAUUUUUACCUUCUAAAUACGUUGUAUAAAGAUUUUGGAGCACAUCCGGAAGGUUAAAUAAUCACUUCUACUGCCCUGCCUGGUGUGUGGUGGAUAAGAGGCUCAACUCAGUUUGAUUAGCAUUGGUCACCUGUACAGCAGAUAUGGGGUUCAACUACAGUGAUUAUAAGGAUUAGCCCAGUUUGAAUAGCAUUGGUCUUAUGUACAGUGAAUAUAUGAAUUAGCCCAGUUUGAAUAGCAUUGGUCUUGUGUACAAUGGAUUAGGCGCUCAGCUCAGUUUGCUUAGCAUUAGUCUGGUGUGCGGUGCAUAAUUCCAUUUUGAUUAUUAUUGGAUAAGGGGCCAUGCACAGUUUAAUAAGGAUUGGUUGGGUUUACAGUGGAAAAGGUGCUUAGCUCAGUCUUGUGUACAAUAGGGGGUUUAGUUCAGUAUGCUUAGCAUCAGUCUGGUGUGUGGUUGAUAAGGGACCUAGUCAGUUUGAUUAUUAUUGUUCCCAUAUACUAGCUCAGUUUGAUUAAUUUGUCUGGUGUGUGAUGGAUAACUGGCUGAGUUCAAUUUGACGUAAAGUGCACUUGUAGCUCAGUUUGAUUAGCAUUGGCCCCUUGUGUGUUGGCUAGGGGCUAAGCUCAGUUGAAUUAGGAUUGUCUUGUGUACAAGGGGCUUAGCUCAGUUUGAUGAUAUAACUGGAGGCAUCAGUCUGAUGAUAACUGGCUUAAGUCCAAUUUGAUGGAAAAGGUGCUCGGCUCAGUCUUAUGUACAGUUGAUAUGGGCUGGUUCAGUUUGAUAAGCACCAGAAUCUGGUGUGUGUUGGACAUCAGUAUCUGGUGUGUUGUGCAUUUCAAUUCUGUACAGUGAA